This 124-nucleotide microRNA precursor is filed under the name Oryza nivara. RNAcentral describes it as "pre miRNA MIR1428". The stretch from base 8 to 117 matches the Rfam family "MIR1428 microRNA precursor family". The record is from RNAcentral. RNAcentral also lists the same sequence under 3 other names. Lineage: Eukaryota; Viridiplantae; Streptophyta; Magnoliopsida; Poales; Poaceae.
GAUUAGAAGGUCUCGCGAAUUCACAGGACAUAUCUUGUGGUAUGAACUAAGUACGUGAUGAUUUAUGGUGUGUAUUGGGGGCUUACCAUAAGAUAAGGCUGUGAAUUUGCGAAACUUUCAAACC